RNAcentral lists this small RNA (1564 nucleotides) under Rattus norvegicus (Norway rat). RNAcentral describes it as "uncharacterized LOC102556034". Lineage: Eukaryota; Metazoa; Chordata; Mammalia; Rodentia; Muridae. The record is from RNAcentral.
UGUGUGUGUGUUGCAGAAAAUGUUUUAGGAGAACUCCUCCACUUACGAAGCAUUUCUAGAAGGCAGAAAUGCCAAGUGAGAGGUUAAGAACAAGUGAUGUAAUCGCCCUGAGAGGAGCGUUCCAGAGCAGAACCAGCAGUCUCAGGACAAGUGAGUUUGAACAGGAAGAAGAAUUCCCAGGCAAGAGAAGGGGUGACACAAAGGUUGAGAGCAGCAGAGCAGAAGUCUAAGCAGAUUUUGUGUAUAAGGCACUCCAGUAGACCGGUCUCCAGAAAGAGACGAACACCUAGGUAAGGAUUCACCACUGGUCCUGUGGACACGGCCAGCCACCGAAGGGUUCUGAUGUGAGAAGUCCACUGGGACUGAGGAAAAUAUUAACUUGGCUUUUUAAAAAAACAAGUCAUGAAUUAAUAGAGGGAAAAUGAAAUGAGAGCUAACAGGAGGCAGUGGAUGGAGCAACAGAGGCUGGGCCAGGAGUCAAAGGUCAAGUUCAAAGACCCAGAUGGAAGGACAGACCUUCACAGAGCCAGAGUUAGGCGGCUGACAUUGGGAUAACAGGAAGACUGGAGAGAAAACGACCGAAGUUAGGGCUGGGGACAUAACUCAGUGCCUGCCACCCGUGAAACACUGGGAUCACCUUAGCAUCACACACAAUUAAGAUCCUGAGUUUCCAGCUUGUUACACAGACCACUGAGUCCCAACACUUGUGUCCUGGUAUAAUUUAUGUGGAACCAAAGGUGAAGAUUCACUCCAUUCCUGAGAUUCUAAUGCUGACCUCUCGUCUCAUCCUGUUGCAGACGGAGACAACUACAGAGAACCACGCCAAUCCAAAUCCACACCCGUGGAGCCCAGUCGCAGCGGGCACAGUAACAAAACACUCCUGCACCUGAGGCUUGGGGAACAUUGCAGGAAAUUGAGCAGAGAGAUGGUGAGAUCAGAGGAUUGUCAGAAGCGACCCCAUAAAGUCUCACCAACAUGACUGACCAGCCCAAACAUAAGCUGAACAAGGAUGACAGCAAAGGACACACCAAAGUGGGUGGGGCAAAGGCCUCGCUCGACCCUACACAAAGAAUUUAGGCAACUAAGGAAAGAUGGGGAUGGGAAAUUUGGGUUUCUGAAGGGAAGAGCACACCAAUUGGUUGUACAGGGCCAACGGGUCAGCUCUGAAAGCAUACAUACAGUAACAUGGACUGAGCAGGAUAUAUUUAGGUAGUAAGAUCCACCCUGCCUACUCUGUUCUACCUAAUGUUUCCUGUGCCAUUUAACAUUCAAAGAAAAACGAACAUUUUACAUAUAGCUUCAAAGUAAAUGUACCACCUGAACAUCUGAUUGGUGAUUUUGUUUAAAACAGGAUGACGAUUAGUUUCAGUACACAGAAAAGAUAACUAUUAAGAGCUAUGUGAUGGUUUGUACAUGCUUGGUCCAGGGAGUGGCACUAUUAGGAGGUGUGUCCUUGUUGGAGUAGGUGUCUCACUGUGAACAUGGGUUUCAAGGCCCUCAUCCUAGCUGCCUGGAAAUGAGUAUUCUGCCAGCACCCUUCAGAUGAAGAUAUAGAACUCUCAGC